This 253-nucleotide ribosomal RNA is filed under the name Vibrio parahaemolyticus. RNAcentral's name for it is "partial 16S ribosomal RNA". It matches the Rfam family "Bacterial small subunit ribosomal RNA", at positions 20 to 259 of the family's 1533-position model. Lineage: Bacteria; Pseudomonadati; Pseudomonadota; Gammaproteobacteria; Vibrionales; Vibrionaceae. The record is from RNAcentral.
UGGCUCAGAUUGAACGCUGGCGGCAGGCCUAACACAUGCAAGUCGAGCGGAAACGAGUUAUCUGAACCUUCGGGGAACGAUAACGGCGUCGAGCGGCGGACGGGUGAGUAAUGCCUAGGAAAUUGCCCUGAUGUGGGGGAUAACCAUUGGAAACGAUGGCUAAUACCGCAUGAUGCCUACGGGCCAAAGAGGGGGACCUUCGGGCCUCUCGCGUCAGGAUAUGCCUAGGUGGGAUUAGCUAGUUGGUGAGGUA